AUGAAAGAAUUGUGGGAAGUUGGAUGGGUCAGUUUGUUAAAGGAGAAAUAACUCUACUUCAUUUAUUUCAAAAGAUUUAUAAUUUUCCUUAAAUUGUAAAUCGAUAUAAGUUCGGUUUGAAAAACUUAAUGAUAGAAUUUGUUUUUUUUAUUUAUAUAAACAAAAUAACGUUUAUGGUUUUAUGAAAUAUAAGCCAAUUUAAUUUAGCUGAAACCUUUUUUUUAUAAACGAAUUGGAUUUAAAAGAGAUAUUUGUUUCUUUUUUUUUAUAUAUAAAUGAACUGAUCAUAAUACAAAAGUGAAUCAGAUGACUAAACUUGUUAUCAUUUAAUUUAUAAUAUAAUAUAAUUUCUAAAGUUUUCCAUACAUUGCAAAUUCACUAUACUACAUUUUUUUGAAAGAAAAUUAUUUAACAGUAAAGAAAGGAAAAUAAUUACUAAACAUUUAAUAUGAGCAACUGGAACGGAAAA
RNAcentral lists this long non-coding RNA (469 nucleotides) under Helianthus annuus (common sunflower). Its description in RNAcentral is "hypothetical non coding rna". The record is from RNAcentral. Lineage: Eukaryota; Viridiplantae; Streptophyta; Magnoliopsida; Asterales; Asteraceae.